ACCGGCGCACGGGUGAGUAACGCGUAUGCAACCUGCCUACAACAGGGGAAUAACCCGUUGAAAGACGGACUAAUACCCCAUAACACAGGGAUCCCGCAUGGGAAUAUUUGUUAAAGAUUUAUCGGUUGUAGAUGGGCAUGCGUUCCAUUAGCUUGUUGGUGAGGUAACGGCUCACCAAGGCAACGAUGGAUAGGGGAACUGAGAGGUUUAUCCCCCACACUGGUACUGAGACACGGACCAGACUCCUACGGGAGGCAGCAGUGAGGAAUAUUGGUCAAUGGACGCAAGUCUGAACCAGCCACGUCGCGUGAAGGAAGACGGCCCUACGGGUUGUAAACUUCUUUUGUAAGGGAAUAAAGUGUAGUACGUGUACUAUUUUGCAUGUACCUUACGAAUAAGGAUCGGCUAACUCCGUGCCAGCAGCCGCGGUAAUACGGAGGAUCCGAGCGUUAUCCGGAUUUAUUGGGUUUAAAGGGUGCGCAGGCGGGAGAUUAAGUCGGCGGUGAAAUUUUGCAGCUCAACUGUAAAAGUGCCUUCGAAACUGGUUUCCUUGAGUGUGG
RNAcentral lists this ribosomal RNA (560 nucleotides) under uncultured bacterium. RNAcentral's name for it is "bacterial SSU rRNA". It matches the Rfam family "Bacterial small subunit ribosomal RNA", at positions 94 to 651 of the family's 1533-position model. The record is from RNAcentral.